Bacillus rossius redtenbacheri is the source of this 982-nucleotide long non-coding RNA. RefSeq lists it as uncharacterized. The record is from RefSeq and is a predicted model, not a curated record. Lineage: Eukaryota; Metazoa; Arthropoda; Insecta; Phasmatodea; Bacillidae. The transcript is spliced from 3 exons.
AUAGAGCGGACAUGGCAGCCGUGCAGAUGGAGCGGGAAGUUCUGAUAUAGUUUUUGGGGUUGUAUAAGAAAUAGGGUGUUUAUGGGACAUAUCCAGCAAGCAGUAUAGCAACAAAUAUGCUAGAAAUCAGGCUCUUGAGAUCCUGCUGGAACAAUUAAAACGCAUCGAAGGUGAUGCAACAAUUGUGAGAGUUAAAAAGAAAAUCGAAAAUAUGAGAGCUGCAUACAAAAGAUAAUGGAAGAAAGUGCAAGAAAGUAAAAGUACAGGAGCAGGCAAAGAGGAUGUUUACGUUCCUUCUUUAUGGUACUAUGAACAUCUGAACUUUCUCAAUGAAAAGGACUCGGUACACAGAAAAGGAACGGACACUCUCAGAACCUGCGGGGACGAUGAAGAUGUCAAUGAAGUAACUGAAACACAAACACUAAAAGCACAUCGACUAACAGCCAGCAAACGUCGCGCUACAACUGUAUUGAAGAAACAGGAGGAGUUAAUAGACAGUGCCAAAAAUUUACUUUGCAGAGUUGAUUCACCAGCUGAGUCAUAUAGCCGCACAGUAGGGUUACAGUUGACGGAAAUGACGGAGAUGAAGCGUUGUAUUGCGGAAAAGUUAAUUUCUGAUGUGAUAUUUUAUGGAAAAUUAUGUGAACUCAAUACCCAGUCAACAAUCGCAGUGAACAACCACCCUGUACCAUCACAAUCUCCUUGUUCAUCUGCCACAUCCCAUUCCUGUACGUCCCAUUCUCCGAGUAUUCCACAGUGUUCACACAGAGCAAUACCCAGUACGACAAGUUCGCUAACUAAGGAAACUGACCAGCAUCUGACGUGUUAAGUAUGUAUCAGCAACCAGCUGGCCAAAGUGAGUUCAGUUCAUAUAACGUGGCUGAUAUGCUGGUGUUCAAAAUUUUGUAAAAUAUAACAAUUAGAAAAAAACACAACAUACAAAUUUAUAUCUGAUUGUUGAAGUAUUGUAUUAGAAGUCAUG